UGUCGACUGAUAGUGAGAAUAAUAUGAUUUUCUCCUACUCUUUCUUCCCUUUUUCUUUUAUCUCCUUGAUCCUUUUCGUCAAUGGAAUUUUAAUCGAGA
RNAcentral lists this non-coding RNA (99 nucleotides) under Chattonella subsalsa. The record is from RNAcentral. Lineage: Eukaryota; Raphidophyceae; Chattonellales; Chattonellaceae.